AACGAACGCUGGCGGCAUGCCUAACACAUGCAAGUCGAACGAAGCCUUCGGGCUUAGUGGCGCACGGGUGCGUAACGCGUGGGAAUCUGCCCUUUGGUUCAGAAUAACAGUUGGAAACGACUGCUAAUACCGGAUGAUGACGAAAGUCCAAAGAUUUAUCGCCAGAGGAUGAGCCCGCGUAGGGUUAGCUAGUUGGUGUGGUAAAGGCGCACCAAGGCGACGAUCCUUAGCUGGUCUGAGAGGAUGAUCAGCCACACUGGGACUGAGACACGGCCCAGACUCCUACGGGAGGCAGCAGUGGGGAAUAUUGGACAAUGGGCGAAAGCCUGAUCCAGCAAUGCCGCGUGAGUGAUGAAGGCCCUAGGGUUGUAAAGCUCUUUUACCCGGGAUGAUAAUGACAGUACCGGGAGAAUAAGCCCCGGCUAACUCCGUGCCAGCCGCCGCGGUAA
Molecule: ribosomal RNA, 449 nt
Filed under: uncultured bacterium
Lineage: Bacteria
Description: partial 16S ribosomal RNA
Rfam family: Bacterial small subunit ribosomal RNA
Source: RNAcentral